Molecule: long non-coding RNA, 2229 nt
Organism: Hypanus sabinus (Atlantic stingray)
Lineage: Eukaryota; Metazoa; Chordata; Chondrichthyes; Myliobatiformes; Dasyatidae
Exons: 3
Source: RefSeq, a predicted model, not a curated record
GCUUUUAGAAGCACAAAGAAGGAAAUGAAUUACAAGUCUACUGGAAUACAUAAAGAUAGCUUUAUUUUCAAAGAGUGGAACAGAGGGAAACAGUAAUCCCGACUUCAGAGCAGUGAAACUUGGCAGGACAAGAUGAGCAAAGGUUUGGAAUAGUUGCUUUCAAAGAGCAUCAUUUGAAGAACUCCACCAUCUCCUGAUUCCCACAUCAGUCAGCACUGAACCCACAAAACUGGGAUGAAAGUAAGGCACUCUCGAUCCCAAGGGGCUGUCGAAGAAGCUGGACAGAAACUGAGAAAAUGAAAAGAAAUGAAAGAUAAUUGAAAAUUGCAAGUAAGCAGUCUGAGAAAAUGGAUAACAUCAGCCUUCGUGCAGUCAUCCGCUACCUCGGUCUCAAGGGCUUAUCACCCAAGGAGGUCCACAAGGACAUGGUGGCAUCACUAGGGGAGGGUGAAAAAUAAAUGUGCUAAGUUUUCUCAAAUUGACUCCUUCAACCUUAGGCCACGACCUUAUCAAUCACCCCUCGUAUUACAUUAAAAUAAACACAGCCGGUGGCUCAAUGGGCAGAGAGUACUGCUACUCCGCUUCAAAGGUAGCAUGCACGUGUGCACAAUGCUAUUACAGCUCGGUGGGGUGGGGGGGGGGAGUAGGGAGAUCACAGUUUAGUUUAGGUACUGUCUGUAAGGAGUUACUACAUUCUCCCAGUCACCGCGUGGGUUUCCUCCAGGUGCUCCGGUUUCCUCUCACGGUCCAUCAAUAGAUUAACUGAUUGUAAAUUGUUCAGCGCUUAAGCUAGUGUUAAGUACCGGCGGGUUGCUGGGCAGCACUGACCAUUGGGAUGGAGGGCAUGUCUACACUGCACCUCUAAAUAAAUAAAUAGAUGAACUAAAAUAAGUUGGAAGGAAUUUUAUUGUGGGAUCUAAACUGAGGGGAUAUGGUGCUUUGCAUUAAUUGCUUGAGCGAUGAACACAUUAAGUCACUCCCAUCUAUGCUAAUAUUAAAACUCCUUAAAAUUAAAAGGAUGUUUAACCAAGUAUAUGUCCACCUUAUAAACCAGUUCUGCUCUGUACAAGAGGUUGUGCUGUUGGCUACGCUUUAUUUCAUUCUUGGCUGCUUGCAGCAUUUUAAUUUAUUUAUUGAGAUGUAGUGUGGGAUGGGGCCCUUUUGGCUCUUUGAGCUCUACUGUGUAACAAUCCAUGGAUUUAAUCCUCACCUAAUCAUGGAACAAUUUUGGAUGACCAGUUAACCUGCCAGCCAACAAGUCUUUGGACUGUGGGUGGAAGCUGGAGCACCUAGAGGAAAUGGAUAAUGGGGAGAACGUGCAAACUCCUUACAGGCGGUGGUGGGAAUUGAGCCCGACACUGGUGCCGUAAAGAGUUGUGCUUUAAAGUUUUUAGCCAAUAGCAGAGGAUAUCUGUUUAAGGUGAGUGGAGGAAAGUUUAUGGGAGAAUUUACACAGAGACUGACAGGUGUCUAGAACUCACUGCUGGGGAUAGGAGUAGAGGCUGAUAAAAUAGGGACUAAAAAAGACUGUUCGAUAGGCACAUGAGUAUAAGAAAAACAGAGGGUUCUGGGCUGUGUAGGGGAUAUUAAUCUUGUAGUAAAUUUCUAUAAGUCAGCACAUCAUGGACCGAAGGGACCAUACUGUCCUGUACUGUUCGAUGAAAAUGAACACACAGAAAGAAUUAAAUAACCAAAGCUGAUAAUCCCUGUACAGAUCAGCAAUGGAGUCAAAAUGGACCUAUACUCGGAUAAGCAUCCUUUUAAUUUUAUGGUGUUAUAAUAUUAGCGUAUUACAUUUGUCUCUCAAGCAGUCAAUCCACAAAGUCAUUACCUGGCUCGGGCCUAGUUUUCAUCAAAGGGAAUUAAAAUGAAGAGUAAAGAAUCAGUGGUCCAUUACCAGUAACAGUACUUUCCAAUUAAUCAGUAAGUAGCUACAAGCUGUAAAAAACAGAAUCAAAUGGCUUACUGCAUCCUAAAGUACAGAAUUCUUUUUGUAGGUGACAUGUUGAGAUGUAAAUGAGAAAGAAAACUUACAUGGGCAACUGCAGCUGUGAAUAUUCACAUCAUUUCAUUGUUCAUUCAUGCUCAUCAGAUCCCACAGUGGAUUAUUGUAAAGUGCAUCAGUUAAAACAUGUUCCUUUAUACAAUUACAUUUAAAAAUGUCAGGUUAAAUAACAGAAUGUAAGAUUGUAUUAAUUCAGUUUUGAAUGUAUGACUGUACUAAGGAAA